RNAcentral lists this ribosomal RNA (468 nucleotides) under uncultured bacterium. RNAcentral's name for it is "partial 16S ribosomal RNA". It matches the Rfam family "Bacterial small subunit ribosomal RNA", at positions 28 to 507 of the family's 1533-position model. The record is from RNAcentral.
GACGAACGCUGGCGGCGUGCUUAACACAUGCAAGUCGAACGGAAAGGCCCUGCUUUUGUGGGGUGCUCGAGUGGCGAACGGGUGAGUAACACGUGAGUAACCUGCCCUUUACUUUGGGAUAACUUCAGGAAACUGGGGCUAAUACCGGAUAGGAGCUCCUGCUGCAUGGUGGGGGUUGGAAAGUUUCGGCGGUUGGGGAUGGACUCGCGGCUUAUCAGCUUGUUGGUGGGGUAGUGGCUUACCAAGGCUUUGACGGGUAGCCGGCCUGAGAGGGUGACCGGCGACAUUGGGACUGAGAUACGGCCCAGACUCCUACGGGAGGCAGCAGUGGGGAAUAUUGCACAAUGGGCGGAAGCCUGAUGCAGCAACGCCGCGUGCGGGAUGACGGCCUUCGGGUUGUAAACCGCUUUCGCCUGUGACGAAGCGUGAGUGACGGUAAUGGGUAAAGAAGCACCGGCUAACUACGUG